CCCGGCCCGCGCAGGGCCGCGCGUGCGUGUCCUCGGCGGAUUUCUCUUUGAAAUGUCGGCUGUUUAUUCCUCUCCACAGACGCGGCCUGAGCUGCUGAGUUGUUCCAGCCCAUUCUGAGUGUUAUUCAGGUGGAAGGGUUGCUUGUCGUUCGCAGAGAACCUUUUCAGAAGAUAGAACCGCCCAACGUCUGGCUGUCAGAAGCUGAAUUUUUACUGAAAUUGUUGGAUGAAGACUUCACAGGGUGUAUUUGGACCUCCAAACGCCACUUGAUAAGGAUCCACAUCAUGGAGUUGUUCUCAGUGCUGAUCUCUGUAGAAUAAGUGGCGUUAAUAGCAUGAAGAGAAAAAUAAUAGGAAGAGUAGCUUUUUUUCAAAAUCUGGUAUGGAGAUGCCAAUGCACAGUAUGGGAAAAGCUACCAUGGGUUGUAAACUCAGCCAACUCAUCAUAGGCACUAGCAGCCCCACCAUCAAGGACAUCUUCAAAAGGCAAUGCACAGGAUGACAACAUUCAUCAAGAAGGAAACUCACCAUUGAAGGCAUUCCCUCUUCUCAUAACUACCAUCAACGAGGUACGGAAGACUGAAGGUGCAUGCUCAAUGUUUUAGGAACAACUUCUUCCCCCCCACCAUCAGAUUUCUGGACAGUCCAUGAACACUAACUAUUUUGCUCUCUUUUUACACUACUUAUUUUGUUUUAAACAUAUUAUUGUGACUUAUAAUAAUAUAGUAAUGUCUAAUACUAGAGGGCAUGUAUUUGUGGUGUGGUGAGGUAGAAGUUGGGGAGGGAGUUCAAAGGAAAUGAGCAUGGCAAGUCUUUAAAAAUUUAUUAACACUAAAAUGUGCUACUAGGAUUAGUGGCGAAUCAGAUUUAUUACCAGGGAGUCAAAUGAGUUUUUCAACAGCAGUACACUGCGAAGCAUACAAAAAAAUUUACUAUAAGAAAUAUAAAUAAAUAAAUAAAUAAAUAGAUAGAUAGAUAGAUAGAUAGUGCGAAAAGAACUAAAUAGUGAGGUAGUGUUCAUGGACCACUCAGAUAUCUAAUGGAGGGAGAGAAGUCUCCUAUACUCCCUCCCUGAUGUUAGCAUUGUGCAAAGGUCAUUUCUGCAAGCCAGUAUGACUGGCAUUUAAGAGGCUCUUAGACAUGGAUAAAGAGAUAUGGACUUAAGUAGGUAGGGGGAUUAGUUCAAUUCAGCAACAUGACCCAAAGGGCUUGUUCCUGUGCUGUAUUGUUCUAUAUUUCAGCUUGGUUUCCUCACUGUAUUACAAUACAAGCUGAAUUAAAUAAGAGUUUCUGGAAACAGGAAAGUUGGCCACUGUGAAAUUUAUUUCUCACUGGAAACUCUUGCCUCUUUAUAUGAGUGCCUGGUCAUGUGCUUGACAUCUAGUGUAUGUUGGAUUCUGGUGUUUAGAUUUCAGGGUCCUUUUAGAGGUCAGGAGCAAGGCAUAAAACUUGUUGCUUCAUGAUUAUUUUAUUAAGAGUUGAUAAAACAGAGGAAACCGAAGAGACAGUGACAGGGAAAGCUAAGAGUCAUGAAUAAAAAUAUGGCGCCACAAAAACAGCUAUUUUAUACCACUAGAGAUAAGGACAAUUCCAUUCUAAUCGAUAGAAUAAUAAUCUAAUUAGGAAAUAUUUAGUCAAUACUGCUGUAAAAAGUUAACCAAUGAGAAGAACAUUAUUUUUCACUUAAUGGAGAGCUUCCAGAGCUUUCCAGAAUUAUACUUCAUGUAACUACUAGAGGUGUAUGAAAUGUUAGGCAUGUAAAAGCUACUUGAAAUACAAGCAGAUAAUUUAUUGUUAAACUGCAAAGAAAGUACAAUUGCACAGUUAAAUCUAAAGGUAGGAGCAUUCUACAUACUCACAUUCAUAAUUGUCAUCCCUGCAUCCACCCUCCCCACCAUUGACAGCAUCCAUAGGUUGUAUUACCUCAAGAAGGCAGCAUCUAUCAACAAAGAUCCCUACCAUAUGGGUCAUGCCCUCUUCACUCUGCUGCCUAAGCCUCAAAUCCCAGACCUCUAGGUUCAUGGACACGUACUUUCCUUCAACCGUCACACUUUUGAACUCUAACCCCACCUAAGUAAUGGAACACUAUGGGCCACUUCUUCCUCUACAAUAGAUGAAGACCAAAGGCAUUCUAGGUACUAAUUUCCCACAAUGCCACAAAAUUAAGUUACAUAUAGAAUUACUACAAAUACCUUAACAACAGCCGUGUCAAUCACCAUUAACCACCCUGUAUACAGUCUCCUUGCAUUUGGAACAGAGCUCCCACUGUUCUACGGAGGAGAAAGGCACAAAGGUUAAAAUACCAUUGAACAAUUACGCAACUUGGGUCAUGAAUGUGCAUCUCCAACACCAAAUCUAAUCUGCUUUUGCUUUACAGUAGUUCCUAAAGUGGAUGAUAUCACCCACCCCAGGGGUAGUGGGAGUCUCUAUGAGUGUGAUAAAGAUAAAGGGAGUGUAAAAGCAGCACUCAGUUGCUAGGGGAAUUACUUAUAAGCAUUUGAUCCUCAUUG
This is a long non-coding RNA of Hypanus sabinus (Atlantic stingray), 2510 nucleotides long. RefSeq lists it as uncharacterized. The record is from RefSeq and is a predicted model, not a curated record. The transcript has 3 exons. NCBI's taxonomy places the organism in Eukaryota, Metazoa, Chordata, Chondrichthyes, Myliobatiformes, Dasyatidae.